Molecule: transfer RNA, 66 nt
Filed under: Caulobothrium sp. MZUSP 7989
Lineage: Eukaryota; Metazoa; Platyhelminthes; Cestoda; Tetraphyllidea
Also listed under: 1 other name
Description: tRNA-Leu
Source: RNAcentral
GUAAAAAUGCCAGAGGUAUUAUGGGCUUGGUUUAGGACUAAGACACGGCUUAACUGCCUUUUUACU